CCUACGGGGUGCAGCAGUGGGGAAUAUUGGGCAAUGGGCGCAAGCCUGACCCAGCAACGCCGCGUGAAGGAAGAAGGCUUUCGGGUUGUAAACUUCUUUUAAGGGGGAAGAGCAGAAGACGGUACCCCUUGAAUAAGCCACGGCUAACUACGUGCCAGCAGCCGCGGUAAUACGUAGGUGGCAAGCGUUGUCCGGAUUUACUGGGUGUAAAGGGCGUGCAGCCGGAGAGACAAGUCAGAUGUGAAAUCCACGGGCUCAACCCGUGAACUGCAUUUGAAACUGUUUCCCUUGAGUGUCGGAGAGGUAAUCAGAAUUCCUUGUGUAGCGGUGAAAUGCGUAGAUAUAAGGAAGAACACCAGUGGCGAAGGCGGAUUACUGGACGAUAACUGACGGUGAGGCGCGAAAGCGUGGGGAGCAAACAGGAUUAGAUACCCUUGUAGUC
This 442-nucleotide ribosomal RNA is filed under the name uncultured bacterium. RNAcentral describes it as "partial 16S ribosomal RNA". It matches the Rfam family "Bacterial small subunit ribosomal RNA", at positions 338 to 795 of the family's 1533-position model. The record is from RNAcentral.